RNAcentral lists this ribosomal RNA (253 nucleotides) under uncultured bacterium. RNAcentral's name for it is "partial 16S ribosomal RNA". It matches the Rfam family "Bacterial small subunit ribosomal RNA", at positions 524 to 776 of the family's 1533-position model. The record is from RNAcentral.
GACAGAGGGUGCAAACGUUGCUCGGAAUUACUGGGCGUAAAGCGCGUGUAGGCGGAUUGGCAAGUCAGGUGUGAAAUCCCUGGGCUCAACCCAGGAACUGCACUUGAAACUGCCAGUCUUGAGUGAUGGAGAGGAAAGCGGAAUUCCUGGUGUAGAGGUGAAAUUCGUAGAUAUCAGGAGGAACACCGGUGGCGAAGGCGGCUUUCUGGACAUCUACUGACGCUGAGACGCGAAAGCGUGGGGAGCAAACAGG